GGGAAAUCUGGCAGCUUAACUGUCAGGCUUCUAAGAGAUACUGUCAGGCUUGGGACCGGGAGAGGUAAGGGGUACUCCAAGGGUAGGAGUGAAAUCUUGUAAUCCUUGGGGGACCAUCUGUGGCGAAGGCGCCUUACCAGAACGGGUCCGACGGUGAGGGACGAAAGCUAGGGGAGCAAACCGGAUUAGAUACCCGGGUAGUCCUAGCUGUAAACGAUGCUCGCUAGGUGUCAGGCACGGUGCGUCCGUGUUUGGUGCCGUAGGGAAGCCGAGAAGCGAGCCACCUGGGAAGUACGGUCGCAAGGCUGAAACUUAAAGGAAUUGGCGGGGGAGCACUACAACGGGUGGAGCCUGCGGUUUAAUUGGAUUCAACGCCGGAAAACUCACCGGGUGCGACAGCAACAUGUAGGUCAGGCUGAAGGUCUUACC
This 429-nucleotide ribosomal RNA is filed under the name uncultured archaeon. Its description in RNAcentral is "bacterial SSU rRNA". It matches the Rfam family "Archaeal small subunit ribosomal RNA", at positions 544 to 972 of the family's 1478-position model. The record is from RNAcentral.